Molecule: ribosomal RNA, 274 nt
Filed under: uncultured prokaryote
Description: partial 16S ribosomal RNA
Rfam family: Bacterial small subunit ribosomal RNA
Source: RNAcentral
UGGGGAAUCAUGGUCAAUGGGCGAAAGCCUGAACCUGCGACGCCGCGUGAGGGAUGAAGGUCGUAAGAUCGUAAAACUCUUUUCAGGGAUCUUAAAGCACAACCGUCAACAACGGCUGUGUGUGACUCUCCCUGGAAGAAGCCCCAGCCAACUACGUGCCAGCAGCUGCGGUAAUACGUAGGGGGCGAGCGUUAUUCGGAAUUACUGGGUGUAAAGGGUAUGUAGGCGGCCCUUCAAGUCGCGUGUUAAAGUCCCGUGCUCAACGCUGGGUGUG